Molecule: ribosomal RNA, 420 nt
Filed under: Fusobacteriota bacterium
Lineage: Bacteria; Fusobacteriati; Fusobacteriota
Description: Fusobacteria bacterium partial 16S ribosomal RNA
Rfam family: Bacterial small subunit ribosomal RNA
Source: RNAcentral
UGGGGGAUAUUGCACAAUGGGCGAAAGCCUGAUGCCGCGACGCCGCGUGGGGGAUGAAGGCUUUCGGGUUGUAAACUUCUUUUGCUCUGAACAAGGCAUGCCUUUGGGGUGUGUUGAGUGUAGGGGUUGAUUAGCGCCGGCUAACUACGUGCCAGCAGCCGCGGUAAUACGUAGGGCGCGAGCGUUGUCUGGAAUUAUUGGGCGUUAAGGGCCUGUAGGUGGCUGGUUGCGUCUGUCGUGAAAGCUCAUGGCUUAACUGUGGGUUUGCGGUGGGUACGGGCUGGCUUGAGUGCAGUAGGGGAGGCUGGAAAUCCUGGUGUAGCGGGGGAAUGCGCAGAGAUCAGGAGGAGUACCGGUGGCGAAGGGGGGUCUCUGGGCUGUUACUGACGCUGAGGAGCGAAAGCGUGGGGAGCGAACAGG